GGCGGCGCUAACCCGCAAGGAGGCAGCCGACCACGGUAGGGUCAGCGACUGGGGUG
This 56-nucleotide ribosomal RNA is filed under the name uncultured bacterium. RNAcentral's name for it is "partial 16S ribosomal RNA". The record is from RNAcentral.